Molecule: unclassified non-coding RNA, 416 nt
Filed under: Ficinia levynsiae
Lineage: Eukaryota; Viridiplantae; Streptophyta; Magnoliopsida; Poales; Cyperaceae
Description: partial external transcribed spacer 1f
Source: RNAcentral
UUAUGGAUGAUUGCCAUCGGUCGCCUGUAUGGUUCUACCCUUUUGGGUAGUGCAUGAUUGUUUUGUUGACGCUUAUUUAGCCUGCUCUGUUAAUGUUAUUGUUGACAGGACGGCCGAGAUGUCAGCGAAUUUCAAGUGUUUCCAUGUGCGUAGCCAUGGCAAUGCACUUGGAUGUUCGCUGGGUCUCAUGGAUGCGGUCCCUAUUGUGAGCUCUACGGGCUUCUUGCCCGCAGAACCUAUGAGGUUGCCCCUGCGGAGACCAUCGCUCUAUUGCUUCACCGACACAUCAUCGGUUUAAUCGCCAUGUUGUAGUUGUUGCGAUUUGGGUGUUGUUCUCUGCCUCUGUGGCGUGCCUCUUAGAACAAAGUACUUACGAAGCUGGUUUGCGUUGUCGCAAGGCUCCUCCCAAUUGGGCG